Molecule: long non-coding RNA, 251 nt
Filed under: Elaeis guineensis (African oil palm)
Lineage: Eukaryota; Viridiplantae; Streptophyta; Magnoliopsida; Arecales; Arecaceae
Description: long non-coding RNA (EGUI_LNC052238)
Source: RNAcentral
GUGACUGUCAAGAGCAGGAAGAAGGAUGGACCUUCUGAAGGUACAUCUGAGUUGCUCAUUAUUGAAACUAAUCUAACAGUUUUCUCUUCUUUUAGUUAGGUUCUUGAUUCUGGUUCAAGUACUUAUUUAUGCACUUCAAUGCAGAGUCUUGAAGAAGUUAGGGGGCUGAGGGAAGAUGAGAUCACUCUCUAAGUCAGCAAAGGAGCAAGGGUUGCUGUUGUGGCCGUCGAGAUCUAUCCUCUGUGACUACC